Molecule: ribosomal RNA, 397 nt
Filed under: uncultured Glomeromycotina
Lineage: Eukaryota; Fungi; Glomeromycota
Description: SSU rRNA
Rfam family: Eukaryotic small subunit ribosomal RNA
Source: RNAcentral
AGCAGCCGCGGUAAAUUCCAGCUCCAAUAGCGUAUAUUAAAGUUGUUGCAGUUAAAAAGCUCGUAGUUGAAUUUUGGGUUUGGCCGGUUGGUCCGUUCUUGUAACGAGUACUGGUCGGUUGGGCCUCACCGCUUGGGGAAGGGUAAUGCCCUUUAUUGGGUGUUGCUCGGAGCCAAGACCUUUACCUUGAAAAAAUUAGAGUGUUUAAAGCAGGCAUAUGCCAGAAUACAUUAGCAUGGAAUAAUAGAAUAGGACAACGAUUCUAUUUUGUUGGUUUCUAGGACCGUUGUAAUGAUUAAUAGGGAUAGUUGGGGGCAUUAGUAUUCAAUUGUCAGAGGUGAAAUUCUUGGAUUUAUUGAAGACUAACUACUGCGAAAGCAUUUGCCAAGGAUGUUUU